GCUGGUGAGGUGCUGCACACCUGUAAUCCCAGCAACUUGGAAGGCUGAGGCAGGAGGAUCUCAAUUUGGAGACCAGCCUCAGUUACUCAGAAAGACCCUGCCUCAA
RNAcentral lists this small RNA (106 nucleotides) under Marmota monax (woodchuck). Lineage: Eukaryota; Metazoa; Chordata; Mammalia; Rodentia; Sciuridae. The record is from RNAcentral.